GAAAAAAAAAAAAGUGAAAAAUUCUUUGUAUUCCUCUUCCUUCACUCUCUGAAUUUGGAUUUUUUGUCGCCUGGUGGAAAAUUGAAGAGAAACUCGAGUUAGAUUCAUCUAAUUUUGGAUUCUGUAGGUCAUUGAAUUGGUGUUAAUUUUGUGUCGUUUUGAGUUGUUUCAGUAUCAAUGGCCCAAGCCGAACUGACUGCGGAACAGGUUCUUAAGAGGGAUAUCCCAUGGGAGACAUAUAUGAUGACAAAGCUGAUCUCAGGAACUGACCUUCAGCUGUUGAGGCGCUAUGAUAAUCGAUCUGAAAGUUACAGGGCACAAUUGUUAGAUGAUGAUGGUCCAGCUUAUGUUCGGGUAUUUGUUAGCAUCUUACGGGAUAUAUUUAAGGAAGAAACAGUUGAAUAUGUUCUUGCUUUAAUUGAUGAAUUGCUAACAGCUAAUCCAAAAAGAGCUAGAUUAUUCCAUGAUAAGUCUCUUGCAAAUGAGGAUACUUAUGAACCUUUCUUAAGAUUGCUUUGGAAAGGUAACUGGUACAUCCAAGAAAAGAGCUGCAAGAUUCUUGCACUAAUAGUAAGUGCUAGGCCAAAAACUCAAGAUGGCAUCACUGCAAAUGGACGAGUGUCAAACAAACUCAAAGAGUAAAGUCACUUUCAUUGAUGAUGUGUUAAAAGGAUUGGUUGAAUGGCUUUGUGCUCAGCUGAAGAAGCCUUCUCAUCCGAGUCGGGGUGUUCCAACUGCUAUUAGUUGCCUAGCAACAUUACUCAGGGAACCUGUAGUGAGGUCUUCAUUUGUUAAAGCAGAUGGAGUGAAGCUGUUGAUACCUUUAAUUUCUCCUGCAUCUAGCCUGCAAUCUAUCCAGCUUCUCUAUGAAACAUGUCUCUGUGUCUGGCUAUUAUCGUACUAUGAACCAGCAAUUGAAUACUUGGCUACUUCAAGAACCUUGCCGCGACUAAUAGAGGUUGUAAAGAGUUCCACUAAAGAAAAGGUUGUCAGGGUGAUUGUCUUGACCUUUAGGAACUUGCUUGCCAAAGGUACUUUUGGUGCACAGAUGGUAGACCUUGGUCUACCACAAAUUGUUCAAAGUUUGAAAGCACAGGCAUGGAGUGAUGAGGACUUGUUGGAGGCUCUGAACCAACUGGAAGAAGGCUUGAGGGAUAACAUUAAGAAACUGAGUUCUUUUGAUAAGUAUAAGCAAGAAGUCCUCCUUGGGCAUCUUGACUGGUCUCCUAUGCACAAAGAUCCUAUAUUCUGGCGUGAAAAUAUUAACAAUUUUGAAGAGAAUGAUUUCCAGAUUCUGAGGGUCCUUAUUACAAUUUUGGACACAUCUAGUGACCCAAGAGCUCUGGCUGUUGCUUGCUUUGAUCUCUCACAAUUUAUCCAGCACCACCCUGCUGGGCGGAUUAUAGUGACAGACCUCAAGGCCAAGGAACGGGCAAUGAAACUGAUGAACCAUGAAAAUGCUGAAGUUACCAAAAAUGCUCUACUCUGCAUUCAAAGGCUUUUCCUAGGCGCAAAGUACGCUAGCUUUUUGCAGGCAUGAUUCGAUGUGCAAAGUGUGUAAUAAUAGUGCAAUGGUUUUACGCCAUCUGCUGUGGGACUGCAUAAAAUGAAGGGACCCUGAAGUCAGCUUCUUGGUUAUUUGUCACAAUGAUUAAUAUUGAUAAGAACUCUUCUUUACUAGACAUUCAGUUACUUGCAAACUGAAAGAAUUAGUCUGUUUUACCAAAUUGCGGAUUAUUUUUUUAUAGUUUUUGAAAUUAAUAAAUAAAUAAAUACCUCAGAA
This 1783-nucleotide unclassified non-coding RNA is filed under the name Hevea brasiliensis (rubber tree). Lineage: Eukaryota; Viridiplantae; Streptophyta; Magnoliopsida; Malpighiales; Euphorbiaceae. The record is from RNAcentral.